CCUACGGGCGGCAGCAGUGAGGAAUAUUGGUCAAUGGACGAGAGUCUGAACCAGCCAAGUAGCGUGAAGGAUGACUGCCCUAUGGGUUGUAAACUUCUUUUAUAUGGGAAUAAAAUGUUCCACGUGUGGGAUUUUGUAUGUACCAUAUGAAUAAGGAUCGGCUAACUCCGUGCCAGCAGCCGCGGUAAUACGGAGGAUCCGAGCGUUAUCCGGAUUUAUUGGGUUUAAAGGGAGCGUAGGUGGAUUGUUAAGUCAGUUGUGAAAGUUUGCGGCUCAACCGUAAAAUUGCAGUUGAAACUGGCAGUCUUGAGUACAGUAGGGGUGGGCGGAAUUCGUGGUGUAGCGGUGAAAUGCUUAGAUAUCACGAAGAACUCCGAUUGCGAAGGCAGUUCACUGGACUGCAACUGACACUGAGUCUCGAAAGUGUGGGUAUCAAACAGGAUUAGAUACCCCUGUAGUC
RNAcentral lists this ribosomal RNA (460 nucleotides) under uncultured bacterium. RNAcentral describes it as "partial 16S ribosomal RNA". It matches the Rfam family "Bacterial small subunit ribosomal RNA", at positions 338 to 795 of the family's 1533-position model. The record is from RNAcentral.